RNAcentral lists this ribosomal RNA (444 nucleotides) under uncultured bacterium. RNAcentral's name for it is "bacterial SSU rRNA". It matches the Rfam family "Bacterial small subunit ribosomal RNA", at positions 355 to 796 of the family's 1533-position model. The record is from RNAcentral.
UAAGGAAUAUUGGUCAAUGGACGCAAGUCUGAACCAGCCAUGCCGCGUGGAGGAUUAAGGCCCUCUGGGUUGUAAACUCCUUUUAUCUGGGAAGAAAUCCAUCUUUUCUUGGGUGGUUGACGGUACCAGAGGAAUAAGCACCGGCUAACUCCGUGCCAGCAGCCGCGGUAAUACGGAGGGUGCAAGCGUUAUCCGGAUUCACUGGGUUUAAAGGGUGCGUAGGCGGGCAGGUAAGUCCGUGGUGAAAUCCCCAAGCUUAACUUGGGAACUGCCAUGGAUACUAUUUGUCUUGAAUAUUGUGGAGGUAAGCGGAAUAUGUCAUGUAGCGGUGAAAUGCUUAGAUAUGACAUAGAACACCAAUUGCGAAGGCAGCUUACUACACAGUUAUUGACGCUGAGGCACGAAAGCGUGGGGAUCAAACAGGAUUAGAUACCCCGGUAGUCC